GUUUGUGGCCCCCUUAGAGUUUGAUCCUGGUUCAGCACGCACGCUGGCGGCGUGCGUAAUACAUGCAAGUCGAGCGGACAGAUGGGAGCUUGCUCCCUGAUGUCAGCGGCGGACGGGUGAGUAACACGUGGGUAACCUGCCCGUAAGACUGGGAUAACUCCGGGAAACCGGGGCUAAUACCGGAUGGUUGUUUGAACCGCAUGGUUCAAACAUAAAAGGUGGCUUCGGCUACCACUUACAGAUGGACCCGCGGCGCAUUAGCUAGUUGGUGAGGUAACGGCUCACCAAGGCAACGAUGCGUAGCCGACCUGAGAGGGUGAUCGGCCACACUGGGACUGAGACACGGCCCAGACUCCUACGGGAGGCAGCAGUAGGGAAUCUUCCGCAAUGGACGAAAGUCUGACGGAGCAACGCCGCGUGAGUGAUGAAGGUUUUCGGAUCGUAAAGCUCUGUUGUUAGGGAAGAACAAGUACCGUUCGAAUAGGGCGGUACCUUGACGGUACCUAACCAGAAAGCCACGGCUAACUACGUGCCAGCAGCCGCGGUAAUACGUAGGUGGCAAGCGUUGUCCGGAAUUAUUGGGCGUAAAGGGCUCGCAGGCGGUUUCUUAAGUCUGAUGUGAAAGCCCCCGGCUCAACCGGGGAGGGUCAUUGGAAACUGGGGAACUUGAGUGCAGAAGAGGAGAGUGGAAUUCCACGUGUAGCGGUGAAAUGCGUAGAGAUGUGGAGGAACACCAGUGGCGAAGGCGACUCUCUGGUCUGUAACUGACGCUGAGGAGCGAAAGCGUGGGGAGCGAACAGGAUUAGAUACCCUGGUAGUCCACGCCGUAAACGAUGAGUGCUAAGUGUUAGGGGGUUUCCGCCCCUUAGUGCUGCAGCUAACGCAUUAAGCAUUCCGCUUGGAGACGCAGGCC
This 913-nucleotide ribosomal RNA is filed under the name Bacillus subtilis. Its description in RNAcentral is "bacterial SSU rRNA". It matches the Rfam family "Bacterial small subunit ribosomal RNA", at positions 1 to 887 of the family's 1533-position model. Lineage: Bacteria; Bacillati; Bacillota; Bacilli; Caryophanales; Bacillaceae. The record is from RNAcentral.